CUUAUCUAUACAGUUCACAGCAACACAAAGCUGAGGACUCUCAAGCACCACAUUGCUGACCGUGCAAUGUCGUUGACAUCCUUUGGGAAGAAGUAUUAUGUUGGUGCCAAACUUGAAGACACCAUAUUGAUUGGGAAGAGACUGAAGUUUGUAAUGAAUGCUGGCCAAAUGAGAGGCUCUGGAGAAGUGGCAUAUGGUGGGACUUUUGAAGCAACAUUAAGAGGGCAAGACUACCCUGUGAGGAAUGAUAUUAUCAGACUAUCAAUGACGGCUUUGUCCUCUAAGAAGGAGAUGGUGUUGGGUGGAGGUU
Molecule: unclassified non-coding RNA, 310 nt
Filed under: Hevea brasiliensis (rubber tree)
Lineage: Eukaryota; Viridiplantae; Streptophyta; Magnoliopsida; Malpighiales; Euphorbiaceae
Source: RNAcentral